This 469-nucleotide ribosomal RNA is filed under the name uncultured bacterium. RNAcentral describes it as "partial 16S ribosomal RNA". It matches the Rfam family "Bacterial small subunit ribosomal RNA", at positions 28 to 507 of the family's 1533-position model. The record is from RNAcentral.
GACGAACGCUGGCGGCGUGCUUAACACAUGCAAGUCGAACGGAAAGGCCCUGCUUGCAGGGUGCUCGAGUGGCGAACGGGUGAGUAACACGUGGGUGAUCUGCCCCUUACUUUGGGAUAAGCCUGGGAAACUGGGUCUAAUACUGGAUAGGACCAUGCUGUAGGUGGUGUGGUGGAAAGAUUAGUUUCGGUAAGGGAUGAGCUCGCGGCCUAUCAGCUUGUUGGUGGGGUAAUGGCCUACCAAGGCGUCGACGGGUAGCCGGCCUGAGAGGGUGGACGGCCACAUUGGGACUGAGAUGCGGGCCAGACUCCUACGGGAGGCAGCAGAGGGGAAUAUUGCACAAUGGGCGCAAGCCUGAUGCAGCGACGCCGCGUGGGGGAUGACGGCCUUCGGGUUGUAAACUCCUUUCAGCCAUGACGAAGCCCUUGUGGUGACGGUAGUGGUAGAAGAAGCACCGGCUAACUACGUG